CAGAGACUAACACAUUUCUCUAUAUCAGGAGCAAUGGCGGGGUGGGCCCUAACUUGUUUACAAUUAGAGAUUCAGUUUCCUUUUCUGUAAAAAGGUGUUAAUACCAGCCAGCAGGGUUGUUAUUGAGAUUUAAAUAAACUAUCUGGCAGCUUUUACUAUUACUCUAUUCUCUCCUGGCUCCUUACUAGCUAGAAUGUGGGUCCAUCCCUCAGGGAUUUCUGAGGCCAGAGUGAGUGCCCGGUCUUCACCUUUCAUAAACACUGCAUUUCUCACCAACACCCAAACACCCCUUCCUAAGCAUCCUCCUCUCUUUUUGUUUUUGCUUAUAUGAGGUGCCUGACAGGAGGGAGUAAUCACAGCCAUCUCUCCGUUACUCCUUUUCCUUGUAUCCUGCUCUCCCCAAUCACCCUCAGCGACUUGCUUUCCCCUUAGCCUAUGUCCUCCACUCUCUUUCCCAGCCCAGCCAUGGUCUCUGGAGAUGACGCUGCACAGCAGAGCUGGAGCUGAACUUGGAACCACAGAUAGUUUCAAGCUCCCAGAAAUCUCAGGGCAGAAGCACAGAUGGCCUCUGGAGCUCCUGCCUGGUGGGACCAUGAGCUGGCAGCUGCUGUGGCUUGGCUUCCUCCUCCCCAUGGUGGUCUCAGCCCGGGCUCUAGGGCCUGCAGAGAAGGAGGCAGCAGUGGAUUACCUGUUGCAGUAUGGGUACCUACAGAAGCCUCUAGAAGGACCUGCUGACUUUAGGCCAGAAGAUAUCUUGGAAGCUCUGAGGCAAGAAGAGCCCAGAGACAGGGGAUGAGGAAGAGGAGACAGACCUCCCUUCUGGGCCACAAGUAUCUACAGAACACAGUCCUGUGCCGGACCCCUGUGGUGGUGAACUGGAUGCCAUCAUGCUGGGAGACAGGGUGUGGCGCUACAUUAAUUUCAAGAUGUCUCCUGGCCUCCCCAAGAAGCUGAACAGGGUAGCACCCAACCUGGAUGCAGCUCUCUAUUGGCCUCUCAACCAAAAGGUGUUCCUUUUUAAGGGCUCCGGUUACUGGCAGUGGGACGAGCUGGGCCAAACUGACUUUGGCUACUACCCCAAACCAAUCAAGGAGCUGUUAACUGGAGUGCCAGACCCGCCCUUGGCAGCCAUGAGCUGGAGGGAUGGCCGUGUCUACUUCUUCAAAGGCCAACAGUACUAGCGCCUCAACCAGCAGCUUCAAGCAGAGAAAGGCUACCCCAAGGGUACUGCCCACAACUGGAUGCAUUGCGGUCCCCAGAACCCAAACACUGCCCUGUCUGGUGGGGACACCCCUCUCCCAGCCACAGGAACUACCUUACCCAAAGACACAAUCUCAGACAUGACCCCCUCCACCACAGGUCCCACCAGCCUUGUAUUCCCUGGGACAGUCACACUCCUAGUAGCCUAGGACCUGAACCAAAUGUUUGCUUACUAGGCUGCUGGUGCUGCAGCAGGGUCAUGAACCACAGAAUGCAGGCCUCUGUACAUCGCAGCUCUAGCCACCACUCCAGCGCUUUCUCUGCUGGGCAGUGACUCCUUAAUGCUGGGUCAGCCCCCACCUCUUGGCUUCUUCCCCACUCUAGACAGCCUUUCAAUUGUUAUCUACUGUCUGGAGGGCAGUGGUGGAGGGAAGGUGUUAACCAGGCCUUUGGCUGACAGGAGGUGCCAGCUGGGAAGCUGUUAUUCCUGAUAAAUUGCAAGAAAACAGCAUGGCCAGUAAAAUGAGCAAGGGCUUUGGAGUCCUUGAGAAUCAUAUUUACCUGCUUGUGACAUCAGGUGAGUUAAUUAACCUUGUUGAGCCUCGGGACCCCCAACUGCAAAAUCAGGUUAAUAUCAGUCCUGCAGGGUUGUCACAUUAAGUGAAAUACUGUAUGUGAAGUGGUACUGUGUCUGGCACAUUUGUGCUUCAUAAAGGCUAACUCCAUGUUCAUAAGAAAGGCCCAAACAGCUCUUUGUGUGGCUGUGUGUACAACUGUCCAGUCUGAUAAAGGAACUCUUACCAGA
This is a non-coding RNA of Manis javanica (Malayan pangolin), 2005 nucleotides long. NCBI's taxonomy places the organism in Eukaryota, Metazoa, Chordata, Mammalia, Pholidota, Manidae. The record is from RefSeq and is a predicted model, not a curated record.